Molecule: ribosomal RNA, 430 nt
Filed under: uncultured bacterium
Lineage: Bacteria
Description: bacterial SSU rRNA
Rfam family: Bacterial small subunit ribosomal RNA
Source: RNAcentral
UCGAGAAUCUUUAGCAAUGGGCGAAAGCCUGACUAUGCGACGCCGCGUGAGGGAUGAAGGCCUUCGGGUCGUAAACCUCUUUCAAUUGGGAAGAAUAUCCUUGAUAAUAACAUUAUCAAGGACUGACGUUACCAAGAGAAGAAGCCAUGGCUAACUCCGUGCCAGCAGCCGCGGUAAUACGGAGAUGGCAAGCGUUACUCGGAUUCAUUGGGUGUAAAGGGCAGGUAGGUGUCCUAUUAAGUAAGAUGUGAAAUCCUUUGGCUCAAUCAAAGAACUGCAUCUUAAACUGUUAGGAUUGAGUGCGAAAGAGGAAAGCGGAAUUCUCAGUGUAAGGGUGAAAUCUGUAGAGAUCGAGAGGAACACCAGCAGCGAAGGCGGCUUUCUGGUUCGCAACUGACACUGAGCUGCGAAAGCUAGGGGAGCAAACAGG